RNAcentral lists this long non-coding RNA (6675 nucleotides) under Triticum aestivum (bread wheat). RNAcentral's name for it is "long non-coding RNA (TAES_LNC009202)". The record is from RNAcentral. Lineage: Eukaryota; Viridiplantae; Streptophyta; Magnoliopsida; Poales; Poaceae.
AUCGCCGUGCUGAAUGUUCCUCUAUACAUGAUGCUUCUGUUUAAGGAUUGGGUUGACCGUUGAGAGUACCUUCUCAAAGCCUAGCUCUAUAAUUGCUAUUUAGUAGACUGUUAUACGCCGGAUCUGCUCUUGCAAAGCCGAUAUGAAGCACCGAAAUGUGCGUCAGAUAAUUGAUCAUUGCCACUCUGUGCAUCAUGUUUUUGUUGUGUUCCUGAACCCUAUGGCAGCACACCAAGUCGAAUUCAGGAGAGCAUAUCUCUGCUUCACAUGUUCAGGUUUACCCAUCGGCAGCCAGCGACAUACGUUUGGAUUGAACUCAUUUCCUAAAACAGAUUUUCAGAACAUGGGGGCAACGGAGCAAUUUAUUUUUAACCCCCCAAAACAAGUGCUUAAAAGGUUUGAAAAAAAUUGAUUUUUUUUACAUGAAUACACAUGCAUGUGGUCUAAGUACGUGUGAAAAUCCGUUCAAAAAUAUGCUGUAUUGUACGCAGCACAAAAAAGACAAAAAAGUCAGGCCCAAAAAGGAAAAAAACUGGCCCCAAAUUUGCAUGUAUUUUGUCAUUUUUGGAUAUCUCAUAUGCAAGCACGUAUAUUGGUGAAAUUUUGGCACGUCAUACUGCACUUCUAUAUGUGCAUGUACACAAAAUUUUGGAUUUUUCCAAGCCGUACAAAUCCGUUUUUUUGAACUUCAAAAUAAAGUGCUCCAUUGUCCCUGCGCUCAGAACUCAAUUUUAGCUCAUUUCCAUGCUUCUUCUCGUCAGCCUUGCCAGCGAUUGCAUCCACCGAGGGCGUGUUUGGUUGCAAUAGUGAACAGUAGCUGCAUUGCAUACACAUGUCAACCCAGACUGGCUCUGAAAAAACAACCUCAUAUGCGACAUCUGCAAGUUAUUUGGUUGCUUGCAUAUGGACUUCCUGCAUUAGGGGAUCAACUUUGGCACGUUGUUUGAUUGCCUGCAUUGUCUCGGCGCAUACAACUACGCGCUGUUUGGUUGCCCGCAAGGGGUAUGAUUAAGAGUUAGCACUUGCACUUAGCACACAGGGUUAAGAGCUAGCAGAGGAAGGGGGAGAAGAAAUGCAGUGUGCGCCGGACCAUGGCGACUGCGGUGGAUAGUGGUCGUGUCGCCGUGUUCGACAUGACGAGCAUGGAGUCGUGGACGAGCGACCCUGUCGGCGGCACGGCGAGUGACACCGUCGGCGAACUAGUUGCGGUGCUCGCGCAAAGACAGUCGACAGAGGAGGAGAAUGCAGUGCUCGCGCCAUGGUAUCGUCAGUGCAGUGGACGAGAGAGGAGGCCGAGAUGAUCGACGCCGGAAACGACUCCAGUGUAGUAGGGCGAGAGAGAGGAGGCCAAGAUGAUCGACCCCGUCGGCGGCGCGGCGAACUGCAGUGUGCACGGAUGCAGAGGACAUAAGAAAGCAGUGUGCGCGUCAUUGCAGCGUCAGUGCAGUAGGAGAACGAAAGAGAGUAAGCCGAGAUGAGUGACGCCGAAAACGACUCUAGUGUAGUAGGACGUGGGCAAGGAGAUCAAGGGGAAGUGCUUCGGCGUCGAGAGGGACGAAUAGGAGGGGUCUGAGCAGAGGACAGAGGCGUCAGUGCAGUAGACUGCUGUUCAAAGAGAGAUGAAGCUACGAUCGUUGAAACCAAAAACUUACAGCACGAAUGUUGUGAGGAACUGCGAGAUUAGGCUGCUGGUCAAAGGAAAUUUCAAAUGAUCGAUCGUGUGCAACGAAUCUGACAAAAUUCGUCAAGAAUAGCUCCAAACGGGAAGACGAAAUUAAGAACUUACAGCCGACGAAACUACGAACCGAUCGCCUGAAUGGAGCCGUAGCAUCGAGGUGCAUCUUUUUCGUGUAGAGCUUACCUCGAAUCGAAGCACCGUUGUGUAGAUAGGAGGGAGGAGAUUAGAUAGGAGCUUACUGGAGCUUGAAGAAGACCUCACCUAAUCACCUCGCAUCCCUCCCGUCUCCACUCGUGCAAGGGUCUGCUCGCUUGAGCUCGGCUCGGCCUGGCUCACGAGAAACUGCCGAUUCGAGCGUUUCUAACGAGCUAGGCUCUGGACUACUUUAAAAAGCGUGCGAUGCAGGCCCAGCAGUGAAACCAGGCAACCAAACAUGCCUCUUUCUUUCCGCGCGGGCCUAGUUGGGCUUGAUGCGGGCAACCAAACACGCCCCGAAUGUUUCUUGACAUUCCCAUCCGGUUGGGAGACAACUUGUCCCCAAGCUGCUGCUGUAAGAUGGCGAAUACUCAGGCCCCUGCUAGUUCUCUCAUGUCUGCCAUAUGUUUUGCACCCUUGAUUUUUUUAGGGCUUUUCCACUUUUGAUUUCUUCCCUUAUUUCCAUUUCGACCCCUUUUUAUAAUAUCAUUUGCUUUACAUUCGGUGGACCUAAUUUAUGGGCCAGACCGCAGCCCAGCCCGUGCGUGGAUCCAUGUCUCCUUUUCUUUUUGUCCUUCUCUAGAGGAAACAAACAGAAAUCAACAAGUCUCAUAUUGGUUUCACAUUAUGGCGGAUUAUAUGACAACCAAUGAGCCUUUCCACAUCCACAUAUAUUUUUGAUUUAUCAAUCCUUUUCAGUUUUCAUGGCUAUUUUUCAUAAGAAAUUAUAAUUAUGUUAGGGGUAACAUAAUUUAGAAAACCGCAAACUGGCCUUAAUUUGAACCUCAAAACAUUUUUUUCUUCUAUUUUUAACCUCACGGGGAAAUUUCUUCAAGAGAAUUAGUGAUAUCACAUUUUUUUUCUUGAAAUAGAGGGAUGUCUGUUCAUACUUCAUAGCAAAGAUUUUUUGUGCAAGGAUGUUCGGAAGAUCAACAUUUUACAUGGCGGUUACAGAUUCUUUCAGAAAAUAAUCAUUUCCGAACAGAACAUUGUAGUAUCAUUUUUCUAAAGGACUUAUCUUGUAAAUUAUACGGCCCACCAUUCUCACGAGCCAUGUACAUACAUUUCUGGAAUGGUGUUAAUUUCCAUUCUAACAAAGGAGUUGAAGUAUUUCAUGCGCACUCUUAAGUCUCAAUUACAUAUGUUUUAAAAGUGUCGAAGUAUUUCCAGUGCACUCUCAUUUUAUUCUUGUAUCAUCUUAUACUUGUUACACUUAUGGAAUGGUUUGUAUAUUCAUUCUUAAAUUAUUGUUCUUUCUCACAAAAUGAGUUACCAACAUAAAAUGAUCCAUUUUGCACCUUUUAAUUUGUUCUCUUAUUUUCAUUUGGUCUAUUUAUUUCGGAACAUCAUUUGACUUUGGUCCAUAUGAGUAUGAGUAUCUUUUCAACGAGACGCCUAAUUUACGGGCCGGGCCUGGAGGACUCCAUGUCUGCCCAUUUUGUUCCUUGUACUCCAUCGUCGCUUCGUCCUUGUUCCUGCACGUCUCUCUCGCCCUCCGAGCUCCCUCGGGGUCCAGGCGCCGGUGAGGUGGCGCUGCUCUCCACCAUGGCGGUGCCGGACGUGUCGUCGCGUGCGGAGUCCGGCGUCCGCCGCCUUUCCUGGACCGGGAUGUCGAGGCGCAUCCCGGCAGGGCAGAAAUAGCGGACGCUGCAGGUGAAGUAGUAGAACUUGGCCUCGCUGAGCAGGACGAAGGUAGUACCACGGUGAGUACCGCCGCCGGGGUAGCGGUGGAUAGGGUUUCUAGUGUCGCACAUGUCGAACCCGCGUUUGUUCACCUCCACCACGUCCAACUUCUUGUCCGGGUGAUAGAACGCUUCGCACGAUGACACAGAUUGAGUCAGCCGGAGAAACCACGGGAGAAAAAGAAACGUCGAAUCCUUCUACGUACCGAGGUAGUCGCCCUUGUAGAAGGGCCCAUUGAGCUUGGCCCAGCCGGAGAAGUUAUGGCGGGGCAUCCAAUCGAUGUAGACCCUGCGCUCAGCCAUCACCAUCGUCGCCGCCAGCAACAGCGCGGCCACCACUGUCUGCCGGCAGCCCAUCACUCCCUCCUCCGACUCCGAGUCAGAGAGCGGCCUCGGUGUUUGUUGUUGCUCGCUCCAAACGAAACGUGCCGAGCGGAGCGGGAAUGGGUUAUGGUUGUGGCCGUGGCUGCUGUCUUAAAAUGGAGGGUGGGAUGCGUCGAACGAGGACGCGUGUGGCGUGCUUUGUGUGGCUUCUACACGUGCAUACAUAAAGAUCAUAUAUUAGCAGAUAUAAACCACAAGCAAUCUAUCUAGACCAACGCCGAUCUAUCCACAAGAUAGAUGGAUAGAUCUAGAUAGAUUACCAACGCUGAUCUAUCCAGAUUGCUUUUGGUUGUCGAUCUAUCCACAAGAUAGAUUGCUUUUGGUUGAACAUAUGGCUAUUCCUCCGCCGUUUGAUUGAUUACACAACAUAUCAUCCAUGUUGUAGAUAGAUUACACAACAAAACGAUUUAGAUGUUAUUGGUUAAAUAUAUGACUAUUUCUCCACCGCUUGAUUAAUUUAUUUAAUGCAGUUGCGUGCCUGCUGGCUAGCACCGCUUUGACUAUGAACAUGUAAUGGCAUCUCCAAACACGCAAAUUCCCUCUCGCAUCCGUCCUCGGACAGAGGGACCAGUCCAUAGACACUGAUGCUGAAGGUCGUCAUCCAACGCUGUCCGCAUACGUUUGAACCAUGAUUCAAACUAAGCGGACCAAAUUCAUGCAACCCGGCUGAUAUUCAUGAAAGUUUCAAUAGAAAAUAGCAAAAACAUCCAUACAUAGCACACAAAUAAGUCUAGUACAACAAUGUCUCAAAUUUGAUGAGAUUAACCAGAUGUCCAACAAGUAUUUCAUCAACGGAUCAUGUCGUCCUACACAUACUGCCCCUUUGGUUUCAUCCAACAGUGUGCGUACGUAAAUGGCCGUCCCUCUAUCGUGUGGUGCAUCACAGCAACUCGUGCGAACUACAUAUGAGAGAAUGAAUGAUUUAAACAAGUUGAGCAAGAAGCAAAACUUAGGACCUUCCCCUUUGCCACGUUCAAUGGCCACCCUGCCUCCAACUGACCAACCAUCGUGAGAGCAUCUACACCUGGGCGCCCCAAACCCUGCUCAAAUGCCCGGGCGGCCCGCCCCGUCACUGACCGGCCAUGAAUUUUCGACCCAGACGGAUGCCUCAAAUGGGCCUCAAACGCCCGGGCUGACCGGCACCCCUCGUAUCCAGCCCAAAUAUGGGGCGGAUAUGGGGGCGCCCGGGCGCGUCCGCCACAACGGACCCGGCCCACGUUGGCCUACCCGACCCCACACAUAUUCGUCCACAUCCGCUCGUCGGACCAAACCCUAGCCACUUCACACUCCUUUCCCCUCCAUUCCCUCCGCCACCCGAGCUCACCUCCGGCGAUUUUCAUCCAUCUCCGGCAUGGCGGGCAGCGGAUCUGACUCCGACCAGUCCGGAUCCGUCGACUAGGGUGUCAUCCCGUGAAUAGCGGUUCGCAUUGCACUCCGAUGCUCUCGGGACGACAACGCCCGGCCGACGGACGGAUCUAUCCGGCGCAACUCCAUUGUGUCAGCUCAACGGGCGCUUGGGUCCUUUGGGGCUGGAUCAUCACGGUCCUGACAGCCAAAAAAACUCUCCUUCCCCAUCAUCGGUCGGGCAGACUAUGAGUCCUACCGGAAACGGGCAACCCACCGUGGGAAGGAGAGGAUAAGGGCCGCCAAGACCUGUAUCGCGGCGGAAAUGGCGGCAGCAGAGCGGCGCCAACGGCCGCAGAGGAGGAAGCCAUCCACGCCCGCAUUGUGAAGAAACGAUAGCGGAGGAACACGCACGCCCUUGCCCGAGAGUAGAAUUGGGCGGUCCGUGUCAUGGCCGAACUGCCACCGAAGGAGGAGAAGGAGGACAAUGACGGCGAGGACAGCUCCGGCGACGAGCAGAUCUGGCUUGACCCCUACUGCAUCUUCAACUGGUACUACCGCUGCAAGGGCACCGGGAAGGGCAAGGGAAGCCGUGAAUGAUCUCCACCAUAGCCAAACAUGCCCAAUUUUGGUAGUCCGAUGGCAUGUUUAGUGGUGUGAUGUAGUAGGCGGACGAUGUGUGUGCGUCAACAUAGUUGCAUGAGUUUGUGUGGAUUUGAGAUAUGAUAAUUGAGGUGUCCGGAUGUGGAUUGCAUUAUUUGAGGCAUGACCGGCAGUGUCCGCGGACGCCCCCGCGGGCGUUUGUGGGGCUGGAUUUGCAAAGUCCGACUAUAGAUGCUCUGACAAAACUUGGUGAUGUUGGUCUGAAUGGCGUACCGGCGAUACGAUAAUGACCUCACAUUACGUUCUUAAAUGAUGUGCAUGUCGUAGGGCACAAUGUGCUUUUGUGCGCGAAUGAUUUAUGCAUUUGCUGUCAGAAGGUCUCCCUCUGCUCCUGCCUACGAAAUUCACGGAUACAAACAACCAUGUAUCGCACAACAGUUCAUUCUUCAUGGUUGAGUACCUGCCAUCCUUCGUACUCUGAAAAAACGACAUGGCGUCCGAAGUUCAGUCGGUUGCCAUUAUCGCCGUGCUGAAUGUUCCUCUAUACAUGAUGCUUCUGUUUAAGGAUUGGGCUGACCGUUGAGAGUAGCUUCUCAAAGCCUAGCUCUAUAAUUGCUAUUUAGUAGACUGUUAUACGCCGGACCUGCUCUUGCAAAGCCGAUAUGAAGCACCGAAAUGUGCAUCAGAUAAUUGAUCAUUGCCACUCUGCAUCAUGUUUUUGUUGUGUUCCUGAACCCUAUGGCAGGGCACCAAGUCGAAUUCAGGAGAGCAUCUCUCUGCUUCACAUGU